AGAGUUUGAUCCUGGCUCAGAGUGAACGCUGGCGGCGUGCUUAACACAUGCAAGUCGAACGGUAACAGAAAGAGCUUGCUCUUUGCUGACGAGUGGCGCACGGGUGAGUAAUAUAUAGUUAAUGUGCCUUGAAGACCGGGAUAGCCAUUGGAAACGAUGAUUAAUACUGGAUAUACCUUUAUAACUCAAGUUAUAAAGGGAAACGUUUUUUCGCUUCAAGAUCAGACUAUAUCCCAUCAGCUUGUUGGUGAGGUAAGAGCUCACCAAGGCAAUGACGGGUAGCGGGUUUGAGAGGAUGAUCCGCCACACUGGUACUGAGACACGGACCAGACUCCUACGGGAGGCAGCAGUGAGGAAUAUUGCACAAUGGGGGAAACCCUGAUGCAGCAACGCCGCGUGGAGGAUGACGCAUUUCGGUGUGUAAGCUCCUUUUAUAUGUCAAGAAAAUGACGGUAGCAUAUGAAUAAGCACCGCUAACU
This 479-nucleotide ribosomal RNA is filed under the name uncultured bacterium. RNAcentral describes it as "bacterial SSU rRNA". It matches the Rfam family "Bacterial small subunit ribosomal RNA", at positions 8 to 502 of the family's 1533-position model. The record is from RNAcentral.